GACGAACGCUGGCGGCGUGCUUAACACAUGCAAGUCGAGCGGUAAGGCCCCUUCGGGGGUACACGAGCGGCGAACGGGUGAGUAACACGUGGGUGACCUGCCCUCAGCUCUGGGAUAAGCCUGGGAAACUGGGUCUAAUACCGGAUAUGACUCCAUGACGCAUGUCGUGGGGUGGAAAGCCUUGUGCGGCUGGGGAUGGGCCCGCGGCCUAUCAGCUUGUUGGUGGGGUGAUGGCCUACCAAGGCGACGACGGGUAGCCGGCCUGAGAGGGCGACCGGCCACACUGGGACUGAGACACGGCCCAGACUCCUACGGGAGGCAGCAGUGGGGAAUCUUGCGCAAUGGGCGAAAGCCUGACGCAGCGACGCCGCGUGAGGGAUGACGGCC
Molecule: ribosomal RNA, 387 nt
Filed under: uncultured bacterium
Lineage: Bacteria
Description: bacterial SSU rRNA
Rfam family: Bacterial small subunit ribosomal RNA
Source: RNAcentral